GGACUGCUGCCCAGCCCCAACAGAAAGACCACCUAAGCUCCUCCCGCAGACAGGAGAGGGGCGUAAGGGGCCUCUGUCCCCUCCUAGGCAGCCGAGAGCCGCAGGUCCACUAGUUCCGCUCUCCUCCCCCGGGGGUCAAGGCUCCGUCACGCGAGUUUGAGCACUGAGCCUGAAACACACAAGAAGACUGGCUCUUGGGGUGAGGGUUCAAGAAGACCGAGGAAACCCGGAAACCCUGUACAGACCCUACCCCUCCCUAUUAAGGCACCAGGCCCUAAUAGAAAGCUCGGUCUCUCACCCGAUUCUCCGUUGCUUGCCCGCAAGGGGCAUGGGGGAGUGGG
RNAcentral lists this long non-coding RNA (341 nucleotides) under Volvox carteri. RNAcentral's name for it is "long non-coding RNA (VCAR_LNC000596)". Lineage: Eukaryota; Viridiplantae; Chlorophyta; Chlorophyceae; Chlamydomonadales; Volvocaceae. The record is from RNAcentral.